GAGACAGCAGCCGCCGCGGGAAAACGGAGGGUGCAAGCGUUAAUCGGAAUUACUGGGCGUAAAGCGCACGCAGGCGGUCUGACAAGUCAGAUGUGAAAUCCCCGGGCUUAACCUGGGAACUGCAUUUGAAACUGUCAGGCUGGAGUCUUGUAGAGGGGGGUGGAAUUCCAGGUGUAGCGGUGAAAUGCGUAGAGAUCUGGAGGAAUACCGGUGGCGAAGGCGGCCCCCUGGACAAAGACUGACGCUCAGGUGCGAAAGCGUGGGGAGCAAACAGGAUUAGAGACCCGCGUAGUCCCUGUCUCUUAUAC
RNAcentral lists this ribosomal RNA (308 nucleotides) under uncultured bacterium. Its description in RNAcentral is "partial 16S ribosomal RNA". It matches the Rfam family "Bacterial small subunit ribosomal RNA", at positions 505 to 807 of the family's 1533-position model. The record is from RNAcentral.